Molecule: non-coding RNA, 28 nt
Filed under: Bombyx mori (domestic silkworm)
Lineage: Eukaryota; Metazoa; Arthropoda; Insecta; Lepidoptera; Bombycidae
Source: RNAcentral
UGAAAGGGAGAACACCGGGUCCAUCAUC